UACGUAGGGGGCGAGCGUUGUCCGGAAUUACUGGGCGUAAAGGGCGUGUAGGCGGUUAGUUAAGUCAGGUGUGAAAACUGUGGGCUCAACCCAGAGGCUGCAUCUGAAACUGGCUAACUUGAGGGUAGGAGAGGGAAGUGGAAUUCCUAGUGUAGCGGUGAAAUGCGUAGAUAUUAGGAGGAACACCAGUGGCGAAGGCGACUUUCUGGCCUAACCCUGACGCUGAGGCGCGAAAGCGUGGGGAGCAAACAGGAUUAGAUACCCGUGUAGUCC
This 273-nucleotide ribosomal RNA is filed under the name uncultured bacterium. RNAcentral describes it as "partial 16S ribosomal RNA". It matches the Rfam family "Bacterial small subunit ribosomal RNA", at positions 524 to 796 of the family's 1533-position model. The record is from RNAcentral.